Molecule: unclassified non-coding RNA, 334 nt
Filed under: soil metagenome
Description: partial contains 5.8S ribosomal RNA, internal transcribed spacer 2, and large subunit ribosomal RNA
Rfam family: 5.8S ribosomal RNA (bases 1-120)
Source: RNAcentral
GAUGAAGAACGCAGCGAAAUGCGAUACGUAAUGUGAAUUGCAGAAUUCAGUGAAUCAUCGAAUCUUUGAACGCACAUUGCGCCCGCCAGCACUCUGGCGAGCAUGCCUGUUCGAGCGUCAUUUCAACCAUCAAGCCCCAGGCUUGUGUUGGAGCCCUGCGGCUGCCGCAGCCUCCCAAAACCAGUGGCGGGCUCGCUAUCACACCGAGUGCAGUAGUUUACUCUUCGCUCAGGGCGUGUGGCGGGUGCUAGCCGUGAAACCCCCAACUUCUCAAGGUUGACCUCGGAUCAGGUAGGAAUACCCGCUGAACUUAAGCAUAUCAAUAAGCGGAGGA